This 220-nucleotide unclassified non-coding RNA is filed under the name uncultured Solirubrobacterales bacterium. RNAcentral's name for it is "contains 16S-23S intergenic spacer region". The record is from RNAcentral. Lineage: Bacteria; Bacillati; Actinomycetota; Thermoleophilia; Solirubrobacterales.
UCCGGUUUGUCACCGGCAGUCUCCCAUGAGUCCCCAACUGAAUGCUGGCAACAUGGAACGGGGGUUGCGCUCGUUGCGGGACUUAACCCAACAUCUCACGACACGAGCUGACGACAGCCAUGCACCACCUGUGAAGGUGUCCCGAAGGAAAGCCGUGUUUCCACGGCGGUCACCUACAUGUCAAGCCCAGGUAAGGUGGGGAUGACGUCGAAUACGUAAC